This 71-nucleotide transfer RNA is filed under the name Pseudonocardiales bacterium. RNAcentral describes it as "tRNA-Gly". It matches the Rfam family "tRNA". From Rfam's summary of the family: Transfer RNA (tRNA) molecules are approximately 80 nucleotides in length. Their secondary structure includes four short double-helical elements and three loops (D, anti-codon, and T loops). Further hydrogen bonds mediate the characteristic L-shaped molecular structure. tRNAs have two regions of fundamental functional importance: the anti-codon, which is responsible for specific mRNA codon recognition, and the 3' end, to which the tRNAs corresponding amino acid is attached (by aminoacyl-tRNA synthetases). tRNAs cope with the degeneracy of the genetic code in two manners: having more than one tRNA (with a specific anti-codon) for a particular amino acid; and 'wobble' base-pairing, i.e. permitting non-standard base-pairing at the 3rd anti-codon position. Lineage: Bacteria; Bacillati; Actinomycetota; Actinomycetes; Pseudonocardiales. The record is from RNAcentral. RNAcentral also lists the same sequence under 1 other name.
GCGGAUGUAGUUCAAUGGUAGAAUGAGAGCUUCCCAAGCUCUAGAUGCGGGUUCGAUUCCCGUCAUCCGCU